CUCCAGCCUUUUAUAGGAGUCAGAGCUCCCACAAUGCACUGCAAUAUUCCCUUUAAAUUCCAGGAAGUGCUGCUGGCCUGCCUCUUAGAGGUGCAAGCCACCACACCCAGCUAGAUCAGAGGGCCCUCUGAGAGGCCUCCCCAUCAAUAUCUGCCUGAAAAUACUGCUGGAUGGAGCACUGCAUCAACUUGUUAAUGUGGCCCCUGUGCCAAGAGCCUGUAUCCCUGUCAAUUGACGACCUCACCAAGCAAGUGGAUCUUCAAGUCUGUGAUAAGAUCUCACCACCUCCAGCAUAAUGUACCUGAAGGAAGCAGUGUUGGUUUAUCUUUCCUUCUCCUGAUUAUGUCUGCAUGUAACACUGGGCUGGGGCACUUUUGUACCAAAAGAAUUUUGUAAUCCAGUAACAUGAGUUUUGUAAAAUUGUUGUUGCCUGUGUAAUGCAUGUUAUAUAUAUAUAUAUAUAUAUACUGUAGAGAGAGUGUGCUAAAGAAAUAUGUAUCCCUGACUAUACAGACUCCCUUUGCACUGUAUGAAAACAGAUAUGUAAAAGAUUAAUUUACCUUCUGUUCUAGUUACAGAAUAUUGCAUUUACUUAGUAAUUACAAUAUUUAAUGAUGCCAUUGUAAUAUACAGUAUCACAGUAAUGUACAUUUUUUCCCCAAUGCCUUUUCCCAAACUAGGACAGGCUAAAAGCACACUAUUUUUGUUCAAGACCUCUCUGGAAUAAUGUCUUGUUUAGGUUUAAUUAUAAGAGCAGAAAAUACACAUCUGCCUGCUAAUAUUAGCAUUCACACCUACAUACAAACAACCUGAAUUGUAUUCUGAUGAUUUAUUGGCUACCCUUAAGUAAUAUGCCAGAUCCCAUUAUUUGCUGGAGUCUAUUAGUGUCAUAUAAAAUUUGCAUAAUAGUGAUUGUCUCUGAAGUUUGAAAGUUAAAAAGGGCAAUAUCUUGGAAUUUGUUUAUUAUAAAUCUGUGUUUAAAUUACA
Molecule: long non-coding RNA, 987 nt
Organism: Xenopus tropicalis (tropical clawed frog)
Lineage: Eukaryota; Metazoa; Chordata; Amphibia; Anura; Pipidae
Exons: 2
Source: RefSeq, a predicted model, not a curated record